AUGGCCGCUGUUAUCUUGUCCAACACCCAGGUUAUGCCCACCAGUUAUAACAAGACCAUCAUGAGCAACUUGUCCUUGCACCGUAUCGGCAAUGGGGCCGACACAAAUCAAGCCACUGUGAUCCAAAAGGAUUACAAGUUUGGUCAUACUGCUGUUAAUGACUGGGUAAUUUACGAAGGUGCAGGCCCAGGUCCGGUGUUCGCCCGUGGACAAGGCAGCCACAUUCUUGCCGGCAACUCCAUAUCUACCAUCGUGAUAACAUUCGAGGAUCCAAGGUACAAGGGCUCCAGCCUUGCUGUUAUGGGCAACAUCUUGGAUAAUGGUCAGUGGGCUAUUGUUGGAGGGACUGGGUUAUUUAAGUAUGCAACUGGGUUCAUUGACUUGGUUCCUGUUCAACAGUCGAGCCCCAAGAACAUUUCAAACAUCACCAUCGAAGUAUGCAAUCCAAACUAUUGA
This 456-nucleotide ribosomal RNA is filed under the name Triticum aestivum (bread wheat). RNAcentral describes it as "partial small subunit ribosomal RNA". Lineage: Eukaryota; Viridiplantae; Streptophyta; Magnoliopsida; Poales; Poaceae. The record is from RNAcentral.